GAGGAUUCCUGGCGCCACGCUGGGGAUACCCGACCUAUUGUCAUGUGCACGUGUGGGGAGGAACGGUGGGUGGUUUUGGUGUGUGGCUGUGUGACGGAUGGUUGCCCGAGAGGGUGGCUGUCUGGAACGGCCCGCGCCGGCUGCUUGCCGCCCCGACGAACCUUAACUUCGGCGGAAGAGGUAGGCUUGGACCUGCCCGCCGCCGGCCGUAACUGUAUCUACUCUACAAGGAGAAUCUGAAGCCUGAUUAUACAAAACGAAAUGAAAAGCAAAACUUUCAACAACGGAUCUCUUGGCUCU
RNAcentral lists this unclassified non-coding RNA (300 nucleotides) under rhizosphere metagenome. RNAcentral's name for it is "partial ribosomal RNA internal transcribed spacer region". The record is from RNAcentral.